AUGAACGAAAUCAGAACUCAAGUCCAGUUCAUCGACAUUGAUGAAGACAUGGCUGGUCAGC
RNAcentral lists this small RNA (61 nucleotides) under Vibrio cholerae O1 biovar El Tor str. N16961. The record is from RNAcentral. Lineage: Bacteria; Pseudomonadati; Pseudomonadota; Gammaproteobacteria; Vibrionales; Vibrionaceae.